UUUAUACUUUUGCCAUCGCCCUUCCUCCCAGAGAGGUUUCAUCCUCUUGGCUUGUUUGAUUAUGGCGCAUGUUUCACAGUCAUGAAUAACUUGUGCAAUAGCAUCCAUAGUUAAGUCCACCCCUCGGUCUCUAGCCCACUUAUAUGUUGCAUCUCUCCCUUGAUGGCCCGAGGUCUCAUGGGCCCACCGAGCUAGAAAUAAUUCACCCUUGUUCUGCCAGUCCAAGUCUAUUUGAGCCACCUCAAUUUUGGCAGCCUGAUCUACCUGAUGGUUAUUUUUCUGUUCUUCCGUAGCCCGACUCUUGGGCACAUGAGCAUCUACAUGGCACACCUUUACCACCAUAUUCUUUAUUCGG
This 355-nucleotide long non-coding RNA is filed under the name Gallus gallus (chicken). The record is from RNAcentral. Lineage: Eukaryota; Metazoa; Chordata; Aves; Galliformes; Phasianidae.